This 457-nucleotide ribosomal RNA is filed under the name Cryptosporidium parvum. Its description in RNAcentral is "SSU rRNA". It matches the Rfam family "Eukaryotic small subunit ribosomal RNA", at positions 467 to 955 of the family's 1831-position model. Lineage: Eukaryota; Apicomplexa; Conoidasida; Eucoccidiorida; Cryptosporidiidae. The record is from RNAcentral.
GUGACAAGAAAUAACAAUACAGGACUUUUUGGUUUUGUAACUGGAAUGAGUUAAGUAUAAACCCCUUUACAAGUAUCAAUUGGAGGGCAAGUCUGGUGCCAGCAGCCGCGGUAAUUCCAGCUCCAAUAGCGUAUAUUAAAGUUGUUGCAGUUAAAAAGCUCGUAGUUGGAUUUCUGUUAAUAAUUUAUAUAAAAUAUUUUGAAUAUUUAUAUAACAUUAACAUAAUUCAUAUUACUAUAUUUUUUAGUAUAUGAAAUUUUACUUUGAGAAAAUUAGAGUGCUUAAAGCAGGCAUAUGCCUUGAAUACUCCAGCAUGGAAUAAUAUUAAAGAUUUUUAUCUUUCUUAUUGGUUCUAAGAUAAGAAUAAUGAUUAAUAGGGACAGUUGGGGGCAUUUGUAUUUAACAGUCAGAGGUGAAAUUCUUAGAUUUGUUAAAGACAAACUAAUGCGAAAGCAUU